CCUCCGGCCACCCUGUAGAGACCCUGCGUGGAUGGAGCCUUCCGAUUCGCUGCUGUCACACACUGAAGACGUUCAGCGUGGUUCGCCAUGGGACCACUCAACUAGAAGGGAGGAACUGCUGGAGUUGAGCGGCUGCACAGGUCAAGAAUUUUGAAGAAGUUACUCUAAGAACAAAAGCAAGCUGGCAGGAUGUAUGGUGGGGUCUGUUCUCUGAAGGUCUUGCAGCUGCAAGGUUUACUUGUGGUGAGAUUCUAAGACUCAAAACUCACGGCACCUCUAUUGUUCAGAAGUGGCCUCGGUUGCGGCGGCGGCGGCAUU
This is a long non-coding RNA of Panicum virgatum (switchgrass), 318 nucleotides long. RefSeq lists it as uncharacterized. The record is from RefSeq and is a predicted model, not a curated record. The transcript has 3 exons. NCBI's taxonomy places the organism in Eukaryota, Viridiplantae, Streptophyta, Magnoliopsida, Poales, Poaceae.